Molecule: ribosomal RNA, 495 nt
Filed under: uncultured bacterium
Lineage: Bacteria
Description: partial 16S ribosomal RNA
Rfam family: Bacterial small subunit ribosomal RNA
Source: RNAcentral
GACGAACGCUGGCGGCGUGCCUAAUACAUGCAAGUAGAACGCUGAAGGAGGAGCUUGCUUCUCUGGAUGAGUUGCGAACGGGUGAGUAACGCGUAGGUAACCUGCCUGGUAGCGGGGGAUAACUAUUGGAAACGAUAGCUAGUACCGCAUAAGAGUAGAUGUUGCAUGACAUUUGCUUAAAAGGUGCAAUUGCAUCACUACCAGAUGGACCUGCGUUGUAUUAGCUAGUUGGUGGGGUAACGGCUCACCAAGGCGACGAUACAUAGCCGACCUGAGAGGGUGAUCGGCCACACUGGGACUGAGACACGGCCCAGACUCCUACGGGAGGCAGCAGUAGGGAAUCUUCGGCAAUGGACGGAAGUCUGACCGAGCAACGCCGCGUGAGUGAAGAAGGUUGUCGGAUCGUAAAGCUCUGUUGUAAGAGAAGAACGAGUGUGAGAGUGGAAAGUUCACACUGUGACGGUAGCUUACCAGAAAGGGACGGCUAACUACGUG